Long non-coding RNA from Cornus florida, 868 nucleotides. RefSeq lists it as uncharacterized. NCBI's taxonomy places the organism in Eukaryota, Viridiplantae, Streptophyta, Magnoliopsida, Cornales, Cornaceae. The transcript is spliced from 4 exons. The record is from RefSeq and is a predicted model, not a curated record.
UCAUCCGAGCCCUAGGUUUCUCUUCAGCCUCCCCAUUCACCUCCAUCUCUAUUCUCGAUCUCAACUCUGAACUUGCCCCCAUUCUCUCUCUGCAACUCCCCAAUCGCCUCCAUCUCUAUUCUCAUUCUCAACCCCCCCCCCCCCCCCCCCCUCUCUGUAACUGCUAACUAGAAAAUCUACAAGAAUCAGAAGUUCAAAACCCAUAUAUUUCAAUUUAUCUAUCUGUCUACAAGAAUUAAAAGUUCAAAACCUAUUACAUAAUCAACCCAUAUCUGAUAUGCCAGAUUGUUCAAAAAAUCAAAACCCAUAUCUUUUUGUUUCUAUCGCCCGUUGUUCCAGUUCGGGUUCGCCGUUCACAAGCUUCAACCGCUGUCUCUCAACUCUCAAGCUUGCCCCCCUCUCUCUCUGUGCAACUACUAACUUGUAUGUAUGGUUUUUUUUUUUUUUUUUAAAUCAAUUAAUCACUGGCUUGUUGUGAUGGGAAAACACGAGGAGGACGACACUUCCAAGGACCAGAUUAUCGAUAGUUACAUCAAAACCUUAGCUAUGGUUGUUGGAAGUAUCGGAUGUUGCCGACGCAGACAAAUCUGAAUAUGCCUCCACUUCCUUCCAAUAUGACGAAAAAGGUUCUUUCAGUUGCAGCAACAAAAUCAAAGACCAGUGGGGGUGUUAAUACACAGAAUGGAGAGGAAGUUGCGAUUAAGCUGGUUUCACAUUGAUUGAAAUUUUGAUAUGUGAAUGUGAUUAAUUGUGUAAUAUUGGAUUUGGAUAUUAGCAUUUUAAUAUGUGCUGGAAUUAUUAUUUUAGAUUUUGGAUGAUUUGUACAUUUUAAUAUCUAAAUUCUUAAUGGAAUGUGUUUUAUAUUCUA